UGGGUCCAGGAAUGCCACCAGGCUGCCCA
RNAcentral lists this non-coding RNA (29 nucleotides) under Mus musculus (house mouse). The record is from RNAcentral. Lineage: Eukaryota; Metazoa; Chordata; Mammalia; Rodentia; Muridae.